AACCACUCCGCGUCGUGGCCCGUUGCACAUUAGUUCUAUCCUUGUCGAAUUGAUACCAACUCUCGUCCUUGCCUUUUUCUCUAUGUCUCUCUCUCUCUCUCUUUCUGUCUCUAUCUCCCCUUCUCUCUAUAUCUUUCUCUUUCUCUCUCUAGCUCUCAUUCUCUCUUUUUCUCUCUCCCACGUUCUUCGUUCCAAAAGAGAAUGAAGAGAAACGCGCGAGCGCGCUCGGGGUCUACCUCGCGCGGUAGUCAAUACCUUCACCUGCUCGAUUUACCUGAGGGAAAGGAGGAGAGAAGCAGCAGCUUGAGAGAUGAUCGGUACCAGAUCAACGUUAUAACAACCAUCACCAUCAUCAAACAGACAAAUAUGCUACAGACAAUGAAGUAGAUACAAGAGUUUUGUUUAGCAAAAGGAAGAAAGAUGGGCAAGGAAUUGCUUGUAAAGUACAUUCAACUAAACUUCAAAACGGAUGUGAAUAUCUCCUCUGAGACCAUUUUUCAUGGAAUGCAACGUGCAAGUAGUAAUACGAGCUUUCGACAAAUAUCGAUAAGAUCGGUAAAAAUAAGAAGGUAAUAUCGUUUCCGAGUAGUUCCCUAAAAAAGAAAUAGAAAUGUUACCUAUCAUAAAACUUAACUUUAAAUUUGAAUCUCUGAUGUUAAAAAAUGGUAAAAUAAAAAAAAAAUAUAUAUGGAAGGAUGAUUUACUGUGAUUUUGGAAACUUGACAGUCAAACACAAAAAAGGAAUGUUUUCAAAAAUCUUCGAGGAUAAAAUAAACUUCUUACUUUUACCUAAUAAAACCCUUUACUCAGCUAUUUUGCAUAUGCAUAUCACAACCUGUUACAAACAUGAGGCUUGUUUUCAAAAUGAAAACGUUUAAUAAUCAUGCAGUGCUUUAGCAAUAAUAUCAUGCUAUUUUUAUAACUUCGUUUAUAUCGUCGUGAUUUAAUAAACAACUGAUGCGUAUUACUAUCUAUUCAUAUAUAAAUUAAUUGAUAUUAAUUUACUUUGUAUUAUCUCAUUAUUUCAAUUGAAAAACAUUGAAUCUAUUACGUUGCACGUUUAAUUACUAUAGUACUGCAAGAAUAACUAAUGGUAUUAAAUACUAUCUACAAUUAGUGAGAAUAUAUUGAUAGCUGUAAUGUAUGAAUUUAAUGUGAAGAUGAUAAGUAGGAAAUUGCUCUAUUAAAUGCCAGCAAAUAGAGCAUCAUAUCGAUGCCACCUUUAGAAUAAUUUGCUGCGACAUAUAAUAUCCAUGUAUCUUCAUUUAAGGUGAACAUAAUGCCACUUAUUAACUGAAAUCAUACAAAAUUUUCAAAUAAAUAAAAAUUAAAUCACAAUUUUGCACACACGUAA
This is a long non-coding RNA of Polistes canadensis, 1354 nucleotides long. RefSeq lists it as uncharacterized. The transcript is spliced from 3 exons. The record is from RefSeq and is a predicted model, not a curated record. NCBI's taxonomy places the organism in Eukaryota, Metazoa, Arthropoda, Insecta, Hymenoptera, Vespidae.